GAUGAACGCUAGCUACAGGCUUAACACAUGCAAGUCGAGGGGAAACGACAUCGAAAGCUUGCUUUUGAUGGGCGUCGACCGGCGCACGGGUGAGUAACGCGUAUCCAACCUGCCCACCACUUGGGGAUAACCUUGCGAAAGUAAGACUAAUACCCAAUGACGUCUCUAGAAGGCAUCUGAAGGAGAUUAAAGAUUUAUCGGUGAUGGAUGGGGAUGCGUCUGAUUAGCUUGUUGGCGGGGUAACGGCCCACCAAGGCGACGAUCAGUAGGGGUUCUGAGAGGAAGGUCUCCCACAUUGGAACUGAGACACGGUCCAAACUCCUACGGGAGGCAGCAGUGAGGAAUAUUGGUCAAUGGGCGAGAGCCUGAACCAGCCAAGUAGCGUGCAGGAUGACGGCCCUAUGGGUUGUAAACUGCUUUUAUAAGGGAAUAAAGUGAGUCUCGUGAGACUUUUUGCAUGUACCUUAUGAAUAAGGACCGGCUAAUUCCGUGCCAGCCGCCGCCGUAA
RNAcentral lists this ribosomal RNA (508 nucleotides) under uncultured bacterium. Its description in RNAcentral is "partial 16S ribosomal RNA". It matches the Rfam family "Bacterial small subunit ribosomal RNA", at positions 28 to 523 of the family's 1533-position model. The record is from RNAcentral.